CCUCCGAUACGCGAACCGCACGAAGUCGUUCGGCUCUACCCGUAAACGACGCUCUUGCCUCUGAACGGCGGUGCGAAACCCGUCUCCGUUCGUCAUAGUGAUAACGCGCACUGUUCCGCCCGCUUUCAGCGUCCGCUGAAUCAGUCCCGCACACCCAAGAACAUCGUCGUCGCAGUGGGGCGCAAAAACGAGGAGGCGGGUAUGGGAGGUCGGUGCAGGGAGUAAGGGCAGUUGUAGCUGGGCGGAUUGGGCGUGGUAAAGGUCGUUUUGAUGGGCGUAAAAUCGUCGUCCGGCGUUCCCGAUAUAGGCGCAGACGAGGAGAGCGGACACAAGCACCGCACCAAACAGAUAACGCACUUUAAUCGGGGGGCGUAAUCGCAACACCCUGACUCUCCUAAUUUCAAGCCAAUAGCAUAAAGGACGCGCACAGCGUAAGCCGUGCCCGCCCCUCAGCGAAACAGAGACC
Molecule: non-coding RNA, 466 nt
Filed under: Armatimonadota bacterium
Lineage: Bacteria; Bacillati; Armatimonadota
Source: RNAcentral